CCACUUGAAUAACAGUGCAUAUGAUACACAGGGAACUGAGUAGAAACACCACUGUGUAAACAAUUAGACUUAGAUGAAACAUGUCUUAGCUGAUCUUCCUCCUUUUUGUGGUGUCAGGAACUGCAGAGCUGUGCCAGGAAUUCACCUUGACAAACUGACACCCAAAACGUCUCUCAUCGAAUGGCUUGUGACAGUCCUCUGCAGCAGUUACUACCUCCACUGGUACCUUCACAAAGAGGGAGAGACUUUGAGGAGGAUGCUGUACAUGGCGACUGCUGAUGAGAGAACACAGGAGAUGAGACACCAAAAUAUCAAUGGAUGAGUGACCCUGGCUUUGAGGAAGUUGCAGCAGAGAAAGUGGGCUCCAAGUAUGUACACUGAAAAUUCCUGAAAUAAAAACCAAUCACUCAA
Molecule: long non-coding RNA, 411 nt
Organism: Salvelinus sp. IW2-2015
Lineage: Eukaryota; Metazoa; Chordata; Actinopteri; Salmoniformes; Salmonidae
Exons: 2
Source: RefSeq, a predicted model, not a curated record